CAGCAGCACGGUAAUACGUAGGUGGCAAGCGUUGUCCGGAAUUAUCGGGCGUAAAGGGCUCGCAGGCGGUUUCUUAAGUCUGAUGUGAAAGCCCCCGGCUCAACCGGGGAGGGUCAUUGGAAACUGGGAAACUUGAGUGCAGAAGAGGAGAGUGGAAUUCCACGUGUAGCGGUGAAAUGCGUAGAGAUGUGGAGGAACACCAGUGACGAAGGCGACUCUCUGGUCUGUAACUGACGCUGAGGAGCGAAAGCGUGGGGAGCGAACAGGAUUAGAUACCCCCGUAGUCCCUGUCUCUUAUACC
This 301-nucleotide ribosomal RNA is filed under the name uncultured bacterium. RNAcentral's name for it is "partial 16S ribosomal RNA". It matches the Rfam family "Bacterial small subunit ribosomal RNA", at positions 509 to 808 of the family's 1533-position model. The record is from RNAcentral.